Molecule: ribosomal RNA, 255 nt
Filed under: uncultured bacterium
Lineage: Bacteria
Description: partial 16S ribosomal RNA
Rfam family: Bacterial small subunit ribosomal RNA
Source: RNAcentral
GACAGAGGGUGCAAACGUUUGUUCGGAAUUACUGGGCGUAAAGCGUGUGUAGGCGGCUUGCCAAGUCGGAUGUGAAAGCCCAGGGCUCAACCUUGGAAUUGCCUUUGAUACUGGCUAUCUUGAGUUCGGGAGAGGUGAGUGGAAUGCCGAGUGUAGAGGUGAAAUUCGUAGAUAUUCGGCGGAACACCAGUGGCGAAGGCGACUCACUGGCCCGAUACUGACGCUGAGGCGCGAAAGCGUGGGGAGCAAACAGGG